CGCUCUGCCCGGCCUGAGGGAGGGGCUGACUCCCCCCCUCACACUCACACCCCGGGGGAACCAGGGUGCCCCCGCCCGCUUGCAUCGCUCCGCCUAGGCCCCCUUGGUCCCAUCCAAGGAGCCCCAGGGAGGGGACGGGCCUGCUCCACCUUCCUCACCAGCUCCAAACCGGGACCAUUUAGCGGACCCUUUCAAUAUCCUGCAUUAUUUGGCAGCCAGAUCUGAGCAGUUGGCACGUCUUCCUGGAACUAUUGAGCUCUCCCUGAGUGCUUGAGGGAGACAGCAGAGGAGCUUACAACUGAGCAUGCAGGUGACUCCUAAGCAGUUUCAACGGAGAAGAGGUCGGAGGUCACCGAGUUGCUGACUGCUUAGUGUGACGUGAAGGUGUGGAUGGAAGACCACACUGCUGCCUUGCAUAUGUCCUGAAUGGGAACUUGUGUGAGGAACGCAGCGGAAAAGGCCUGUGCUCUUGUGGAGUGCGCUGUCAAUGCCGGGGCUGGGAUCUUAGC
This is a long non-coding RNA of Trachemys scripta elegans, 509 nucleotides long. RefSeq lists it as uncharacterized. The transcript is spliced from 3 exons. NCBI's taxonomy places the organism in Eukaryota, Metazoa, Chordata, Testudines, Emydidae. The record is from RefSeq and is a predicted model, not a curated record.